This 492-nucleotide ribosomal RNA is filed under the name uncultured bacterium. RNAcentral describes it as "partial 16S ribosomal RNA". It matches the Rfam family "Bacterial small subunit ribosomal RNA", at positions 29 to 507 of the family's 1533-position model. The record is from RNAcentral.
AGUGAACGCUGGCGGUAGGCCUAACACAUGCAAGUCGAACGGCAGCACAGUAAGAGCUUGCUCUUACGGGUGGCGAGUGGCGGACGGGUGAGGAAUACAUCGGAAUCUACUUUUUCGUGGGGGAUAACGUAGGGAAACUUACGCUAAUACCGCAUACGACCUACGGGUGAAAGCAGGGGAUCUUCGGACCUUGCGCGAUUGAAUGAGCGGAUGUCGGAUUGGCUAGUUGGCGGGGUAAAGGCCCACCAAGGCGCCGAUCCGCAGCCGGUCUGAGAGGAUGGUCGGCCACACUGGAACUGGGACACGGUCCAGACUCCUACGGGAGGCAGCAGUGGGGAAUAUUAGACAAUGGGGGCAAGCCUGGUCCAGCCAUACCGCGUGGGUGAAGAAGGCCUUCGGGUUGUAAAGCCCUUUUGUUGGGAAAGAAAAGCAGCAGGUUAAUACCCCGCUGUUCUGACGGUACCCAAAGAAUAAGCACCGGCUAACUUCGUG